UGUAGCUACUUUGUAGUGGUAAAUCUUUUGUCGAGAUUGUUUACAGAAGUUGGUCGGCCCAUAUUGGCCAUCUACACCUAAACCUUUGAACAAAAUUUUGAAGAAUUAUGGUAUUCAAAUUUCAAAGAGAGAACGUAUGUAGCUCAAGUAAGAAAGACGUCCUUGCCCCAAGUUGGUAUAAAUGUGAGUGCUCGGAAAUAAUCUUUCGUCAAACUGAAUUGAGUGGUUUCUUGGGAGAGGAAAAGUGUGAAGACAAUAUGUCUCCCAGCUUUCCAUGCAAUGAAGAAAGUCCAUCGAGAUUCGCUCAUUACAAAAGCUAGCGUGUUGCCUGUUGUAUCAUAAAUAUGUGUAGAACAAAUUAAUUUCAUGUUCCUGUGCGUUUUCUGUUAUAGCAGGAAGUAUUAAGACAGGUAGCUCUUUGUAAAGUCAAUUGUUUUUCAUAAAAAAUUGUCCGAAAUCUUAGUCCCAUUUACAGAAAUCGCAUGCAAUGUAAGAGAAGACAGCAAUUUUGCAUCAAACGACAAUGAUUAUCGACAAUGAAAGUGAAACAAAAAUGAGACACAAAGACUAUAGCAACUAUGAAAUAAAUAUAUCACAGAUGAAAA
This is a long non-coding RNA of Xenia sp. Carnegie-2017, 605 nucleotides long. RefSeq lists it as uncharacterized. The record is from RefSeq and is a predicted model, not a curated record. The transcript is spliced from 3 exons. NCBI's taxonomy places the organism in Eukaryota, Metazoa, Cnidaria, Anthozoa, Malacalcyonacea, Xeniidae.